RNAcentral lists this ribosomal RNA (408 nucleotides) under uncultured bacterium. Its description in RNAcentral is "bacterial SSU rRNA". It matches the Rfam family "Bacterial small subunit ribosomal RNA", at positions 8 to 416 of the family's 1533-position model. The record is from RNAcentral.
AGAGUUUGAUCCUGGCUCAGAUUGAACGCUGGCGGAAUGCUUUACACAUGCAAGUCGAACGGCAGCACGGGAGCUUGCUCCUGGUGGCGAGUGGCGAACGGGUGAGUAAUACAUAGGAACAUACCCAGUAAUGGGGGAUAACGCCGAGAAAUCGGUGCUAAUACCGCAUACGCCCUACGGGGGAAAGCGGGGGAUCUUCGGACCUCGCGUUAUUGGAUUGGCCUAUGUCUGAUUAGCUAGUUGGUGAGGUAAAGGCUCACCAAGGCGACGAUCAGUAGCUGGUCUGAGAGGAUGAUCAGCCACACUGGAACUGAGACACGGUCCAGACUCCUACGGGAGGCAGCAGUGGGGAAUUUUGGACAAUGGGCGAAAGCCUGAUCCAGCCAUUCCGCGUGAGUGAAGAAGGCC